UAAGGAAUAUUGGUCAAUGGACGAAAGUCUGAACCAGCUAUGCCGCGUGGAGGAUGAAGGCCCUCUGGGUUGUAAACUUCUUUUAUAUGGGACGAAAAAGGGUCUUUCUAGAUCAACUGACGGUACCAUGUGAAUAAGCACCGGCUAACUCCGUGCCAGCAGCCGCGGUAAUACGGAGGGUGCAAGCGUUAUCCGGAUUCACUGGGUUUAAAGGGUGCGUAGGUGGGUUGGUAAGUCAGUGGUGAAAUCUCCGAGCUUAACUUGGAAACUGCCAUUGAUACUAUCAGUCUUGAAUAUUGUGGAGGUUAGCGGAAUAUGUCAUGUAGCGGUGAAAUGCUUAGAUAUGACAUAGAACACCAAUUGCGAAGGCAGCUGGCUACACAUAUAUUGACACUGAGGCACGAAAGCGUGGGGAUCAAACAG
Molecule: ribosomal RNA, 423 nt
Filed under: uncultured bacterium
Lineage: Bacteria
Description: bacterial SSU rRNA
Rfam family: Bacterial small subunit ribosomal RNA
Source: RNAcentral